CCUACGGGGGGCUGCAGUGGGGAAUUUUGCGCAAUGGGCGAAAGCCUGACGCAGCAACGCCGCGUGUGUGAUGAAGGUCUUCGGAUUGUAAAGCACUUUCGACCGGGACGAAAACGCCUGGGUUAAUACCUCAGGUCUUGACGGUACCGGGAGAAGAAGCACCGGCUAACUCUGUGCCAGCAGCCGCGGUAAUACAGAGGGUGCAAGCGUUGUUCGGAAUUAUUGGGCGUAAAGCGCGUGUAGGCGGCUUUGCAAGUCGGGUGUGAAAGCCCUCGGCUCAACCGAGGAAGUGCGCCCGAAACUGCAGAGCUUGAGUGCCGGAGAGGGUGGCGGAAUUCCCCAAGUAGAGGUGAAAUUCGUAGAUAUGGGGAGGAACACCGGUGGCGAAGGCGGCCACCUGGCCGGUAACUGACGCUGAGACGCGAAAGCGUGGGGAGCAAACAGGAUUAGAUACCCCUGUAGUC
RNAcentral lists this ribosomal RNA (464 nucleotides) under uncultured bacterium. RNAcentral describes it as "bacterial SSU rRNA". It matches the Rfam family "Bacterial small subunit ribosomal RNA", at positions 338 to 795 of the family's 1533-position model. The record is from RNAcentral.